UGAGGAAUAUUAGUCAAUGGGCGCAAGCCUGAACCAGCCAUCCCGCGUGCAGGAUGACGGCCCUACGGGUUGUAAACUGCUUUUAUACAGGAAGAAAAAUUCCCGAUGUAUCGGGACUUGCCGGUACUGUAUGAAUAAGCAUCGGCUAACUCCGUGCCAGCAGCCGCGGUAAUACGGAGGAUGCAAGCGUUAUCCGGAUUCAUUGGGUUUAAAGGGUGCGUAGGCGGCUUUUUAAGUCAGUGGUGAAAUCCUGCCGCUUAACGGUAGAAUUGCCAUUGAUACUGAGGAGCUUGAGUUCAGUUGAGGUAAGCGGAAUGUGUAGUGUAGCGGUGAAAUGCUUAGAUAUUACACAGAAACACCUGAUUGCGAAGGCAGCUUACUAAACUGACACUGACGCUGAUGCACGAAAAGCGUGGGGAUCGAACAGGAUUAGAUACCCUGGUAGUCCACGCCGUAAAACGAUGAUCACUCGCUGUAUGCGAUAAUACCGUAUGCGGCCAAGCGAAAGCAUUAAGUGAUCCCACCUGGGGGAGUACNAUCGCAAGGUUGAAACUCAAAUGAAUUGACGGGGGUCAUANCUGUUUUCC
Molecule: ribosomal RNA, 587 nt
Filed under: uncultured bacterium
Lineage: Bacteria
Description: partial 16S ribosomal RNA
Rfam family: Bacterial small subunit ribosomal RNA
Source: RNAcentral